UCCCAUUCAGCUGCACUAUUUCGACCAAAGGUUUGAAAUUCCCAUCUCAAUUUCCUGCAAUUCUCUCUUUAUUGAGUAGACCUUUAUAACACCAAGUUCCCACCAACAAUACCAUGGAUACUUGGUAUGCGAUCGAUACAUUCGCAGCACAGCAUCUAUAUCAGGCAGGUGCAUUUUAUCACUUUUAGGUGAGUUGGGUAUUAGUGGUGGCACUGUCAGUACAAGUACAAAUAUAGAAAGACCUUGUGCAGAUGUGCUUUAGUCAGAGAGUUGUGUCUAUACCAUAAAACAUACAUUCGUACAUAAACAUAAUUAUAUUGGGGAGUGAAUAUAGUAAAACAAAAAAAACAAAAAAAGCUGGAAUAGGAAAUUAAUGGUAUAGAAGGAGAACUUUCAGAAUGGAAUAAAU
Molecule: non-coding RNA, 409 nt
Organism: Pelobates cultripes (western spadefoot toad)
Lineage: Eukaryota; Metazoa; Chordata; Amphibia; Anura; Pelobatidae
Source: the annotation of a GenBank genome assembly